Molecule: ribosomal RNA, 400 nt
Filed under: uncultured bacterium
Lineage: Bacteria
Description: bacterial SSU rRNA
Rfam family: Bacterial small subunit ribosomal RNA
Source: RNAcentral
UCGAGAAUAAUUCACAAUGGACGAAAGUCUGAUGGUGCAACGCCGCGUGGAGGAUGAAGGUCUUCGGAUUGUAAACUCCUGUCAUUUGAGAGCAAGACCUGGCGGUGAAUAGCCGACAGGGUUGAUAGUAUCGAAAGAGGAAGGGACGGCUAACUUCGUGCCAGCAGCCGCGGUAAUACGAAGGUCCCGAGCGUUGUUCGGAAUCACUGGGCGUAAAGGGAGCGUAGGCGGCAUGGUAAGUCAGGUGUGAAAUCCCGGGGCUCAACCCCGGAACUGCACCCGAUACUGCCUUGCUAGAGUAAUGGAGGGGUAGCUGGAAUUCUCGGUGUAGCAGUGAAAUGCGUGGAUAUCGAGAGGAACACUUGUGGCGAAGGCGAGCUACUGGACAUUUACUGACGCU